RNAcentral lists this long non-coding RNA (662 nucleotides) under Pongo abelii (Sumatran orangutan). RNAcentral's name for it is "lincRNA". The record is from RNAcentral. Lineage: Eukaryota; Metazoa; Chordata; Mammalia; Primates; Hominidae.
GUUGUGGCUCAGGGGCCAGCACCUGCUAGUACCAGGACACUACUGGGAGGCUGGGACCUGACCAAAGCUCAUGGUGUCUGUUGCCUGAGGACAGGGUGUCUUGGGCCAUAAGGCCAGGCCACCAAUGGCCAUUGGGUCAUAGGGGCUCAGCCCCAGUGUUUGCCCUUCCCUGGCUCCUUCUGGUUCGGUCCUAUCAGGGCCCUGGAGCCCAAGACCCAGCAUCCAAGGUCCCCUCCAGGAAUCCUGGCGGCUCAGCUUACUUUGUCAUGUUUCAUCUGAGAGCAAAAAUGUCAGAUCGGCUGCACAGAAAAAUGGCUCAAAGUACUUAAUGACUAGAAGAAAUCUAGGAGCAGCAAGAAGAUGUCUCGGCUGCUCUACAAGGGAGUCCCAUUUCAGGUGUGGUGCUGGGCAUGGUCACUCCUGCUGAAUGUCUAGAAGGUGAAAACCAAGGACCUAGGGAAAUACCAGGUACAGCCUUUCCACCCUCAUCCAGAGCGGGACAAACAGGCCAGGCGGUGUCAGGAGCACAGGUCUCCAGCUGGAGGGAGUGUCAGCCCUGCAGUAGGAGUCCAUCACGCAUCCUAGGCACAUAUGCUAAUGUAGGUAUCACAGGGCCUAUGACCGGAUGCACAACUUUAGACACCAUCAUCCUGGAGCAGCUC